This 253-nucleotide ribosomal RNA is filed under the name uncultured bacterium. RNAcentral's name for it is "partial 16S ribosomal RNA". It matches the Rfam family "Bacterial small subunit ribosomal RNA", at positions 524 to 776 of the family's 1533-position model. The record is from RNAcentral.
UACGGAGGGUGCAAGCGUUAUCCGGAUUCACUGGGUUUAAAGGGUGCGUAGGAGGGCAGGUAAGUCAGUGGUGAAAUCUUCGAGCUUAACUCGGAAACUGCCGUUGAUACUAUCUGUCUUGAAUACCGUGGAGAUGAGCGGAAUAUGUCAUGUAGCGGUGAAAUGCUUAGAUAUGACAUAGAACACCAAUUGCGAAGGCAGCUCGUUACACGAAUAUUGACUCUGAGGCACGAAAGCGUGGGGAGCGAACAGG